This is a non-coding RNA of Triticum aestivum (bread wheat), 115 nucleotides long. The record is from Rfam. Lineage: Eukaryota; Viridiplantae; Streptophyta; Magnoliopsida; Poales; Poaceae.
UACAUACUCCCUCUAUUCAGAAUUACUCGUCCAAGAAAUGAAUGUAUCUAGAUGUAUUUUAGUUGUAGAUACAUCCAUUUUUGUGACAAGUAAUUUCGAACGGAGGGAGUACUAC